GAGGGUACAGCUCAGUGGUAGAGGGCCUCCUAGCAUGCUGGAGGUCCUGGGUUCAAUCCUCAGUACCUUCA
This 71-nucleotide transfer RNA is filed under the name Camelus bactrianus (Bactrian camel). It matches the Rfam family "tRNA". Rfam says of the family: Transfer RNA (tRNA) molecules are approximately 80 nucleotides in length. The record is from Rfam by way of RNAcentral. Lineage: Eukaryota; Metazoa; Chordata; Mammalia; Artiodactyla; Camelidae. RNAcentral also lists the same sequence under 1 other name.